RNAcentral lists this non-coding RNA (241 nucleotides) under Acidaminococcus intestini. RNAcentral describes it as "T-box sequence". It matches the Rfam family "T-box leader". From Rfam's summary of the family: Uncharged tRNA acts as the effector for transcription antitermination of genes in the T-box leader family. T-boxes are found upstream of many aminoacyl-tRNA synthetase genes and some amino acid biosynthetic genes usually in Gram-positive bacteria. Lineage: Bacteria; Bacillati; Bacillota; Negativicutes; Acidaminococcales; Acidaminococcaceae. The record is from RNAcentral.
UAAAAUGCGAUGAAAGGAAGAGUACUUUUUAUUGUCUGGUUCCAGAGAACUCCCGCACCGGUGAAAGGGAGUGCAGAUGAGAAAAGGAAGAUGGUCCUGGAGCUGAUUGGCUGAAAUCACAGUAGGCCGUACGGGUGUGCCCGUUAUUGCACUGGGGAAUCCGGCUUUGGCCGCGUUUCCAAGAGACCUUGCCCAAGGGCAAGGUAAAGCUGGGUGGUACCACGAUGCUUUCGUCCCUGCA